ACUUCGUCCGCCGGACUCGGAAUGGCGCGAGACUUUGCGAGGGGCCGCCGUGUGGCAAAAAUAGGCCACGGACAAUGCCACACCCAAAAAUAACAGCCCGAAGGCCGGGGUGCCAAGUUCGUCCAGCGAAAAAGCGCCAGCAAAACGGGUGGGCUAUAGCCUCGGCGGGUGGGGCUGGCCAACUUCGUCCGCCGGACUCGGAAUGCCGCGAGACUUUGCGAGGGGCCUCCGUGUGCCAAAAAUAGGCCGCGGACAAAGCCGCGCCCAAAAAUAACCGCCCGAAGGCCGGGGCGCCAAGUUCGUCCAGCGGAAAAAGGCAACAAAAACGGGUGGGCUAUAGGCUUGGGGGGUGGGGCUGGCCGACUUCGUCCGCCGAACUCGUAAUGCCGCGAGACUUUACGAGGGGCCUCCGUGUGCCAUAAAUAGGCUGUGGGCAAAGCCGCGCCUAAAAAUAACAGCCCAAAGGCCGGGGCGCCAAGUUCGUCCAGCGGAAAAAGGCCACAAAAACGGGUGGGCUAUAGCCUUGGGGGGUGGGGCUGGCCAACUUCGUCCGCCGGACUAGGAAUGCCGCGAGACUUUGUGAGGGGCCUCCGUGUGCCAAAAAUAGGCCGCGGGCAAAGCCGCGCCCAAAAAUAACCGCCCGAAGGCCGGGGCGCCAAGUUCGUCCUGCGGAAAAAGGCCACAAAACGGGUGGGCUAUACCCUUGGGGGGUGGGGCCGGCCGAAUUCGUUCGCCGGACUCGGAAUGGCGCGAGACUUUGCGAGGGUCCUCCGUUUGCCAAAAAUAGGCCGUGGGCAAAGCCGCGCCCAAAAAUAACCGCCCGAAGGCCGGGGCGCCAAGUUCGUCCAGCGGAAAAAGGCUACAAAAACGGGUUGGCUAUAGCCUUGGCGGGUGGGGCUGGCCAACUUCGUCCGCCGGACUAGGAAUGCCGCGAGACUUUGUGAGGGGCCUCCGUGUGCCAAAAAUAGGCCGCGGGCAAAGCCGCGCCCAAAAAUAACCGCCCGAAGGCCGGGGCGCCAAGUUCGUCCUGCGGAAAAAGGCCACAAAACGGGUGGGCUAUACCCUUGGGGGGUGGGGCCAGCCGAAUUCGUUCGCCGG
Molecule: long non-coding RNA, 1098 nt
Filed under: Citrus x clementina
Lineage: Eukaryota; Viridiplantae; Streptophyta; Magnoliopsida; Sapindales; Rutaceae
Description: Citrus clementina (C. clementina) long non-coding RNA (CCLE_LNC004993)
Source: RNAcentral